UGCAAGUCGAGCGGUAACAGAAAGUAGCUUGCUACUUUGCUGACGAGCGGCGGACGGGUGAGUAAUGCCUGGGAAUAUGCCUUGAUGUGGGGGAUAACUAUUGGAAACGAUAGCUAAUACCGCAUAAUGUCUUCGGACCAAAGAGGGGGAUCUUCGGACCUCUCGCGUCAAGAUUAGCCCAGGUGAGAUUAGCUAGUUGGUGAGGUAAGAGCUCACCAAGGCGACGAUCUCUAGCUGGUCUGAGAGGAUGAUCAGCCACACUGGAACUGAGACACGGUCCAGACUCCUACGGGAGGCAGCAGUGGGGAAUAUUGCACAAUGGGCGAAAGCCUGAUGCAGCCAUGCCGCGUGUAUGAAGAAGGCCUUCGGGUUGUAAAGUACUUUCAGUCGUGAGGAAGGGUGUGUAGUUAAUAGCUGCAUAUCUUGACGUUAGCGACAGAAGAAGCACCGGCUAACUCCGUGCCAGCAGCCGCGGUAAUACGGAGGGUGCGAGCGUUAAUCGGAAUUACUGGGCGUAAAGCGCAUGCAGGUGGUUCAUUAAGUCAGAUGUGAAAGCCCGGGGCUCAACCUCGGAACCGCAUUUGAAACUGGUGAACUAGAGUGCUGUAGAGGGGGGUAGAAUUUCAGGUGUAGCGGUGAAAUGCGUAGAGAUCUGAAGGAAUACCAGUGGCGAAGGCGGCCCCCUGGACAGACACU
RNAcentral lists this ribosomal RNA (696 nucleotides) under uncultured Aliivibrio sp. RNAcentral describes it as "bacterial SSU rRNA". It matches the Rfam family "Bacterial small subunit ribosomal RNA", at positions 56 to 741 of the family's 1533-position model. Lineage: Bacteria; Pseudomonadati; Pseudomonadota; Gammaproteobacteria; Vibrionales; Vibrionaceae. The record is from RNAcentral.